Molecule: ribosomal RNA, 496 nt
Filed under: uncultured bacterium
Lineage: Bacteria
Description: partial 16S ribosomal RNA
Rfam family: Bacterial small subunit ribosomal RNA
Source: RNAcentral
AUGAACGCUGGCGGCGUGCCUAAUACCUGCCAGUCGAGCGAACAGAUAAGGACCUUGCUCCUUUGACGUUAGCGGCGGCCGGGUGAGUAACACGUGGGUAACCUACCUAUAAUACUGGAAUAACUCCGGGAAACCGGGGCUAAUGCCGGAUAACAUUUAUAACCGCUUGUUUCUAAAGUGAAAGUUGGUUUUGCUAUCACUUAUAGAUGGAUCCUCGCCGUAUUAGCUAGUUGGUAAGGUACCGGCUUACUAAGGCAACGAGACGUAGCCAACCUGAGCGGGGGAUAGGCGACAUGGGAACGGAGCCACGGUCAAGAGGCCUAAGGGAGGCAGCAGUAGGGAAUGGGAGGCAAUGGGCGAAAGCAUGACGGAGCAACGGGGAGUGAGUGAUGAAGGUGUUGGGAGCGUAAAACUGUGUUAUGAGGGAAGAACAAAUGUGUAAGUAACUGAGCACGUAGUGACGGUACCGAAUCAGAAAGCAACGGCUAACUACGUG